Molecule: long non-coding RNA, 2398 nt
Filed under: Arachis ipaensis
Lineage: Eukaryota; Viridiplantae; Streptophyta; Magnoliopsida; Fabales; Fabaceae
Description: long non-coding RNA (AIPA_LNC002420)
Source: RNAcentral
AACCGGUUAAUAAUUUAUUUUUUAAUAAACCAUAACAAAAUCGGUUUAUUAUAGCAACAAUAAUAAAUCCAAUUAUUCACAUUAUAAUUAUUAGACUCUAUUUGAUCCGAUCGAUUUACACAAUCUGAACCGAAUCAUGUUUAAAUUUUUUGAUAAAAAGAUAAAUACAUUCCUAACUUUUUGUUUCGCGGACAUUUAAAUCCCUAAAAAUUUAAAAAUAUAAUUAGGACCCUAUCCCCUUGCCCUAGCCCAAGAAUAAGCCCAAUCUCUCAAUAACCUCUCAAGCUGACCCAAAAAAAGAAAAAAAAUCUAGCCCUCAGCAUCUCCUUCCUCUCCCUUUCUCACUGAAGCUCGAGCUCCUCAUCUCUUUGCUCACUGGCUCUCGCAAUCUCAAGCUCUCUUCCUCUCUCGUCUCCGGUCUCGCACCCAAGGUCCUAGUUGCUUCCAUGUCGUCAGUCGUCACUGUCUCGCACUCAGUCGCGCUCGCACGCCUUCCCUGAGCUCGUCGUCGCCGGCAGGAGAAGUAGCCGGUCCCAAGGCUAAUUGUUGGAACUAAAUAGAGAUGGACAUGUCUCCUUUGACAAUUUCAAAAUGGAGCUUCCUUUAGAGGAGCAGAUAAGAUUGAUCAAGAAAGCAACACUGUUGCUGGAAUCACAGCUGGUGCCACAAGUAUCUCCAAAGAGUGAGAAUUUGGCUGCAGCUUCUGCUGACAACAUAGAUGCAAAGCCUAAAUCCAAGCCUAUCGACAAACAGGUAAUACUUUAAUAGUCAGUGUUGUAGGAAGUUUCUCUUUAUUUUGAAAUCACAUUUAGGUCAUGUGUGAAUUAGUAAUUACUAAUUAAGUAUUUGGGUUUGGAAUCAUGACACUGGGGGUUGGUUGGAAAACUUAAUCAUUCUUCUGUAUUUGGUAAUUACUGAUGGAUGACAUAAGUUGGUUUGAGUUAGCAAUAGAAGCAGCUGAUCAACAAGCCAUAAUUAACACAUUAUUAGAACAAGAAAUCAAAAUACGAACCAUUUUAUAAUAGAAAAUUUUCACACAAACAUAAAUUUAAUACAUAAUCUGACAUGUACGAAUAUAUAUAAUAAUUUAUGAAUCUCACCUAACAUUUAUGCUUGAACAUUAAACUUGUGUAUAAAUUUAUAGCAAUACUUGGAGCAUCAACUAGCUGCUGCCUCCAUAAUCAACAUAAGACAUAAAUAUAAAACUAUACAAACAAGUAGAAAACACUUGUGGAGAGAGGCAGAACAUGAUAGAAUUGCAAGCUACUAGCUAGCUAUAUGUGCUAGUUUUAUUCUCAGUCAUAUCCAAUACAUUAGAUACACCAUAGUUAUAUUGAUGAAUAUAAUUUUGUGAAUGAAGAAAAAUAGUUGAGGAAAUUGCUAGAGAUUGAGGAAGACAAACUCUUCCAUAGCAGAAAAGAUAUAAGCAACUUGAUGAAUCUUUAAAUAGAAGUCCUAUUUUUAUUUACGUCUCAACCUGCUAAUGGUCGUAUUUUGGUCUUCAUUCCAAUUCUUAUCUUCAUUUAUUGAAUAAAGGGCAGCGGCAAAGAAGUCUUAAUCAAAACAAGGAUAUACCUUGUUAGUUGUUAGUGGAUAUCUAAAUAACAUUGAUUCUUCAAAUGUAUUCAGUUUUAUUUUCUAUUUGUUAUUUUACAAAGAUGAAGUUGUUUGUCAUUGUCUUUCCUAUUAGCUUUGGGUACUUUGAUCCAUUUAAAAUAUUACUGGCAAACCAAUUAUUUAGAUUAAAUAUCUCUAAACUUUUAUCCUGUUUUUUUUUUUUUUUAAAAAGAGUCUCUUAUAGGUGAAGGUCUUCUUUGAGAAAUGUGAAUUUUUAAAGUACAGAUUUAAUUUUCUGGCUGUUUGUUCUUUUAUUAUAUUGUUUUGUUAAUGUGUGCCUUGAAUUGUGGCGAAGGAAUGACUAUGAUAUUUGGAUCGCUCAAUGGAUGGUCCUCAACCACUAUUGGAGACCCGAUAAGACAUGAGCAAGAAAAACGUCAUUGUUUAUGAAGUUAAGUUUAUUCAAUUAUCUAAUAUCAUUGUUAAUGUCUGUUAGAAUGUCAAUAAUUACUCAAGGAUGCAACUGACGGUGGAUUUGGUGUAUGGCGAGUACAACUUGAAGCAGGAUAUGAUAAAGGAGCUCGCUGUAGCUGACUGGAAUAAAAAGAUGCAGUGAUCUGCUUCAGACUUGGAAUUUUAUGAUACUUUUUAUUAGAACUUAAUUAAUCGUAAUCGUGUCUUUCAAGAACUAACACAUUUAUUUAGUUAAAAUAGUUACGGAUUGAAUUAGGCUAUUUUAAUUUCUUUUGAAGAAUAAAUUAUCUUUAUAUUUUGGACUAUUUAGAUAUAUAUUGAUCUUUUUAUUUAUAAUGAUUUAUAUAUUAUUUUUUAGAGCAACAAA